UGCACGGUGGUGCAGUUGGUAGCAUUGGGCCCGCCUUGCAGGAAGAAGGUCCUGGGUUCGACUCCCGGCCCGGGGUCUUUCUGCAU
Ataeniobius toweri is the source of this 86-nucleotide non-coding RNA. The record is from the annotation of a GenBank genome assembly. Lineage: Eukaryota; Metazoa; Chordata; Actinopteri; Cyprinodontiformes; Goodeidae.